UUUAUUUAGUUCCUUUACUUCCCGGAGACCGAAGAAAAAAACAAUUACGACGUCAUGUAAUACGAUGCUAGUUUUACCCACAAGUCAACGGGACGAUAGUAUAAAUUAAAACGUCACCCGCCUAAAAUUCUUUUCCGUUCAAAUCGCAAUGGGGAACGUCUGGCUAUCGUUAUGGCCUUUUGGAAAAAAGAUUCUAACAUCUAUUGCAUUUGAUCCUGGAUGACAUGAAUUGGCACUUGGGUGAUUCAGGUCUACCUAAUUUGGACUGCCUUGGUCUGAAUUUUAAUAAUGAUCAUGGAACCAUUAAUGGAAUAGCAGAUGUUUCUGAAGUUACAGAAAGGAAGAAUGGGUGUAAGCAUUUCAACCACAUCACCUUGAAUCUAAAAAGGGCCGGUGAAGAAAACCUUCUGCCAUAUGAGUACACUGAUUAUACAGCAACCGUUCCAUUUAUUUCUGAGGCUUCAAUAGUGAGAAGCUAUUGGCUGUUUUUGCAGUGUGUUUUUUCUGAACUCUUUCCAUUUCAGGUUUUCGGUGUCUGUUGAAGAUUUGUUGACAAUCCCCUCGACAAGUCAAAGUAAAUGUACCUAUAGGUUGGGUCACGAAAGCAAGCAAGGACCGUUGUGGACCAGCUGACUUGACUGUUAAAUAGAAAAAUGUGAAUCAGACUUGACUGUUAAAUACAUGUAUUGGAACAGACACUGACUACUCUGGUUAAUGCAGCUUUGUCCAGUUAUUUACUUUAACUGUGAUUUAUCACAUCAAAUGUGAGGUUGACAAUUGUAAUGCUGUUGAAGCAUUACUUGAACUGUGCAGUAGAAAGAUGCGUACAUGGGAACUCUCCCUAACUACUUACACAAAUGUUUUGGGCAUGUUUAAGUGUACUGUAAAUUAGGCAAUAAAAGUACUCAACUAUUU
Molecule: long non-coding RNA, 915 nt
Organism: Esox lucius (northern pike)
Lineage: Eukaryota; Metazoa; Chordata; Actinopteri; Esociformes; Esocidae
Source: Ensembl